UACGUAGGCAGCGAGCGUUGUUCGGAGUUACUGGGCGUAAAGAGUGCGUAGGCGGUUUUCUAAGUUUGGUGUGAAAUCUCCCGGCUCAACUGGGAGGGUGCGCCGAAGACUGGAAGGCUAGAGUGUGGGAGAGGUAAGCGGAAUUCCUGGUGUAGCGGUGAAAUGCGUAGAUAUCUGGAGGAACACCGGUGGCGAAGGCGACAUCCUGGACCGGUAUUGACGCUGAGGCGCGAAAGCCAGGGGAGCAAACGGG
This 253-nucleotide ribosomal RNA is filed under the name uncultured bacterium. Its description in RNAcentral is "partial 16S ribosomal RNA". It matches the Rfam family "Bacterial small subunit ribosomal RNA", at positions 524 to 776 of the family's 1533-position model. The record is from RNAcentral.